UGGCCCGAUAGGCGAUCGCGUACGAGCACGCCAGUGCAUGCACAUGCCACAGCUUGAUCCAUGGCUAUCAGCCAGCGCGUGCCGUCAGGGAGGUUGAGAUCCGUACGACAGCAGCGCCCAGUCCCGUGUCGUUCGGCGGCCACAAACGGCACUCUAAUGACACUGCCGGUGACAAACCGGAGGAAGGUGGGGAUGACGUCAAGUCCUCAUCGCCCUUAUGGGUAGGGCUUCACACGGUCAUACAAUGGUCGGGACAAAAGGUCGCCAACCCGCGAGGGGGAGCCAAUCCCAGAAACGCCGAUCGUAGGGGGCUUUUAGCAGUCCAAAAAGUACGUGCAGGCGUCAAGGUGGUCCCCCCAAACGAAAAGGUGCGGCUGGCC
RNAcentral lists this ribosomal RNA (380 nucleotides) under Alcaligenes sp. 135402. Its description in RNAcentral is "partial 16S ribosomal RNA". It matches the Rfam family "Bacterial small subunit ribosomal RNA", at positions 991 to 1334 of the family's 1533-position model. The record is from RNAcentral. Lineage: Bacteria; Pseudomonadati; Pseudomonadota; Betaproteobacteria; Burkholderiales; Alcaligenaceae.